RNAcentral lists this ribosomal RNA (472 nucleotides) under uncultured bacterium. Its description in RNAcentral is "partial 16S ribosomal RNA". It matches the Rfam family "Bacterial small subunit ribosomal RNA", at positions 28 to 507 of the family's 1533-position model. The record is from RNAcentral.
GACGAACGCUGGCGGCGUGCUUAACACAUGCAAGUCGAACGCUGAAGCUUGGUGCUUGCACUGGGUGGAUGAGUGGCGAACGGGUGAGUAAUACGUGAGUAACCUGCCCUUGACUCUGGGAUAAGCCUGGGAAACUGGGUCUAAUACUGGAUACGACAUGUCACCGCAUGGUGGUGUGUGGAAAGGGUUUUACUGGUUUUGGAUGGGCUCACGGCCUAUCAGCUUGUUGGUGGGGUAAUGGCUCACCAAGGCGACGACGGGUAGCCGGCCUGAGAGGGUGACCGGACACACUGGGACUGAGACACGGCCCAGCCUCCUACGGGAGGCAGCAGUGGGGAAUAUUGCACAAUGGGCGGAAGCCUGAUGCAGCGACGCCGCGUGGGGGAUGACGGCCUUCGGGUUGUAAACCUCUUUCAGCACGGAAGAAGCGAAAGUGACGGUACGUGCAGAAGAAGCGCCGGCUAACUACGUG